RNAcentral lists this long non-coding RNA (1149 nucleotides) under Homo sapiens (human). Its description in RNAcentral is "non-protein coding lnc-TBC1D16-3:1". Lineage: Eukaryota; Metazoa; Chordata; Mammalia; Primates; Hominidae. The record is from RNAcentral.
UUUUGUCCUUGGGUCGGCCUGCCUGGCUGCCGUGGCCACAGCUGAGGGCCUGGGAGGAGGCUGUGAGGCCGUGUGGCUGACCGAGUCACAUCUUGGGGUAAAGGGGCUGUGGCUGCGGGCCAAGACCUGUCUGCCCUCUGUAUUUCCCGCCAGGAAAUAGGACAAAGGCAGUUGCAGUAACUUUGGUUUCUGGUGCUACCACUACAGACCUGAAUCUGGGGCCAAGAGGGAGCAGCUUUCACCCCCUUCGUUCCCUCCACUCCCUACUCCACGAGGUGCAGAGAUGUAGGAGCUACCCGGAAGGCCGGCUGCCCACGGGGGUGAGAAUUGUUAGAAAGACUUCAGUCCUCCCCGGAAGAGGUCCCUGCAGGCUAAGGAACUUGCUGAGCAUCCCCGCAGCAAGCUGGCCUUGGCGGUCAUGAAGCGACUAGAGUACCUGAACCCUGCGAGGCCUUCUGUCACCCACUAGCCAGGGAAGGAAUAGGAAUCCGGGCUGUCCACCUGUCAGUAUCUACUGUGGCCCCACCAUGGGGAGGGCCCGAUGUUUGCAGAUGUAAGCUGGCUGCAGUCACUCAUCCAGCAGACGGGCAGGUGCAGUCUAGUAGACCCACCAGCACCCUGUGCGUGGACACUCACUGGAGGGUCGAACACUGAGAGCUGCGGGGACUGCUUUUACCUCACUCACUGCUUUCCUUAAAAUCCGGGUGUCCUCAGCUUGGGCCAAGUACUGAGCCUCAAACAGGGCAAUGUCUUCUUCCAGUUGCUGGGCUCGAGUGGUGAGCUGGUCCACAUACAGGUCCUGGGAAACAGGAUGAGAAGCAGCCCCGUCAGGAGGUGCCCGUGGCUGAGGGCCUGUUCUCCACCAACCCUUGAUACAAGUUGACGCCACCCAGGCCGGCCGCCACCCCUCCGGCCGGAAGCCUUCACGCAGGAGGCAAAGCUGAGCCCCUUUUUGAAGCUCCACGGUCUGGUGAUCAUUAAACAUGUGUCGAGUUUGCAGAAUACCUGCUUUUUCUUCUCGAUUUCUGCCCGGAUCCUCUCCGUCUCGGCCUUCUUUACCACUUGUGUCAUCACGCGGAUGUCGUCACGCAUGUCCUGGUCGAUGUUCUGCAUGUAGAAGAGAUGCAGGGCCAAGUUCUCCAUCUCAGU